GCGGCAUGCCUAACACAUGCAAGUCGACCGCUGUGCUUGCACAGAGGGGCGAACGGGUGAGUAACACGUAUUUAACCUACCUUAUAGUCUGGAAUAACUGCGGGCAACUGAAGCUAAUGUUGGCUAGAAGUCCAUUGGAAUCACUGGAGGACCAAAGGCCCGUUUGGGUCGCUAUUAGAUGGGGAUGCGGCGUAUUAGUUAGUUGGUGAGGUAAUGGCUCACCAAGACGAUGAUACGUAGCCGGCCUGAGAGGGUGAAC
This 259-nucleotide ribosomal RNA is filed under the name uncultured bacterium. Its description in RNAcentral is "partial 16S ribosomal RNA". It matches the Rfam family "Bacterial small subunit ribosomal RNA", at positions 39 to 305 of the family's 1533-position model. The record is from RNAcentral.